UCCUGGGUGGGAAAACAGUUAUUGUGCUUGGCUGCUAACCAAAAGGUUGGUGGUUCAAGUCCACCCAGAGGUG
Molecule: transfer RNA, 73 nt
Filed under: Loxodonta africana (African savanna elephant)
Lineage: Eukaryota; Metazoa; Chordata; Mammalia; Proboscidea; Elephantidae
Rfam family: tRNA
About the family: Transfer RNA (tRNA) molecules are approximately 80 nucleotides in length. Their secondary structure includes four short double-helical elements and three loops (D, anti-codon, and T loops).
Source: Rfam by way of RNAcentral